This 490-nucleotide ribosomal RNA is filed under the name uncultured bacterium. RNAcentral describes it as "partial 16S ribosomal RNA". It matches the Rfam family "Bacterial small subunit ribosomal RNA", at positions 30 to 507 of the family's 1533-position model. The record is from RNAcentral.
AUUGAACGCUGGCGGCAGGCCUAACACAUGCAAGUCGAACGGUAACAGGAAACAGCUUGCUGUUUCGCUGACGAGUGGCGGACGGGUGAGUAAUGUCUGGGAAACUGCCUGAUGGAGGGGGAUAACUACUGGAAACGGUAGCUAAUACCGCAUAACGUCGCAAGACCAAAGAGGGGGACCUUCGGGCCUCUUGCCAUCGGCUGUGCCCAGAUGGGAUUAGCUAGUAGGUGGGGUAACGGCUCACCUAGGCGACGAUCCCUAGCUGGUCUGAGAGGAUGACCAGCCACACUGGAACUGAGACACGGUCCAGACUCCUACGGGAGGCAGCAGUGGGGAAUAUUGCACAAUGGGCGCAAGCCUGAUGCAGCCAUGCCGCGUGUAUGAAGAAGGCCUUCGGGUUGUAAAGUACCUUCAGCGGGGAGGAAGGGAGUAAAGUUAAUACCUUUGCUCAUUGACGUUACCCGCAGAAGAAGCACCGGCUAACUCCGUG